This 460-nucleotide ribosomal RNA is filed under the name uncultured bacterium. Its description in RNAcentral is "partial 16S ribosomal RNA". It matches the Rfam family "Bacterial small subunit ribosomal RNA", at positions 338 to 795 of the family's 1533-position model. The record is from RNAcentral.
CCUACGGGGGGCAGCAGUGAGGAAUAUUGGUCAAUGGACGAGAGUCUGAACCAGCCAAGUAGCGUGAAGGAUGACUGCCCUAUGGGUUGUAAACUUCUUUUAUAUGGGAAUAAAACAGGGUAUGCAUACCCUCUUGUAUGUACCAUAUGAAUAAGGAUCGGCUAACUCCGUGCCAGUAGCCGCGGUAAUACGGAGGAUCCGAGCGUUAUCCGGAUUUAUUGGGUUUAAAGGGAGCGUAGGUGGAUUGUUAAGUCAGUUGUGAAAGUUUGCGGCUCAACCGUGAAAUUGCAGUUGAAACUGGCAGUCUUGAGUGCAGUAGAGGUAGGCGGAAUUCGUGGUGUAGCGGUGAAAUGCUUAGAUAUCACGAAGAACACCGAUUGCGAAGGCAGCUCACUGGACUGCAACUGACACUGAUGCUCGAAAGUGUGGGUAGCAAACAGGAUUAGAUACCCCUGUAGUC